UGGGGAAUAUUGGACAAUGGGCGCAAGCCUGAUCCAGCAAUGCCGCGUGAGUGAUGAAGGCCUUCGGGUUGUAAAGCUCUUUCGCACGCGACGAUGAUGACGGUAGCGUGAGAAGAAGCCCCGGCUAACUUCGUGCCAGCAGCCGCGGUAAUACGAAGGGGGCUAGCGUUGUUCGGAAUUACUGGGCGUAAAGGGCGCGUAGGCGGUGUGUCAAGUCAGGCGUGAAAGCCCCGGGCUCAACCUGGGAACCGCGCUUGAGACUGGCACGCUCGAGUUCGGGAGAGGAUGGUGGAAUUCCCAGUGUAGAGGUGAAAUUCGUAGAUAUUGGGAAGAACACCGAUGGCGAAGGCAGCCAUCUGGACCGACGCUGACGCUGAGGCGCGAAAGCGUGGGGAGCAAACAGGAUUAGAUACCCUGGUAGUCCACGCCGUAAACGGUGAGUGCUAGACGUCGGGGCCCUCAGGGCUUCGGUGUCGCAGCUAACGCGUUAAG
This 492-nucleotide ribosomal RNA is filed under the name uncultured Pseudomonadota bacterium. RNAcentral describes it as "bacterial SSU rRNA". It matches the Rfam family "Bacterial small subunit ribosomal RNA", at positions 355 to 864 of the family's 1533-position model. Lineage: Bacteria; Pseudomonadati; Pseudomonadota. The record is from RNAcentral.